RNAcentral lists this ribosomal RNA (46 nucleotides) under Prorocentrum leve. RNAcentral's name for it is "partial large subunit ribosomal RNA". The record is from RNAcentral. Lineage: Eukaryota; Dinophyceae; Prorocentrales; Prorocentraceae.
CGAGACGUGAAAGUUAAGCAGGUGAACCCGCUGAAAUUUAUAGCAU